Molecule: long non-coding RNA, 387 nt
Filed under: Taeniopygia guttata (zebra finch)
Lineage: Eukaryota; Metazoa; Chordata; Aves; Passeriformes; Estrildidae
Description: lncRNA (ENSTGUG00000024487.1)
Source: RNAcentral
CCAUCUUUUCCAUCUGCUUUAUUCUGUUUGGAAAAUGGCAAUGUAGAAUGUGUUUGGUGUAACCUUAAUCCUGACCAGCAUCUGGGCUCCGUUUGAAAAAAAAAAGCAUCUACUGCAAGGAAGGCUCUCCCUCCCUCAUGGCCGGAGUGGAAAAGCACGUUUAAAUCCCGAACUCGGCUUUCCCACGUGGUGUCUCGCUGAGCUGCUGUCACAGCCACGCCGCGCUCUCACAGGGCACCGGACUUCUUCCCUGCCCUGCCGGCAAGGCACAAGGUGAUGAACAUUUCUAAUCAAACCGUAUUUUCGGGACACCUCACUAAACCCCAAAUUUGUGCAGAAAAAGUCACUUGCCUCGUGAGUUAAAAAGCUCCUACUUUUUAAUUCCAC